CCUACGGGAGGCAGCAGUAGGGAAUAUUGCUCAAUGGGGGAAACCCAGAAGCAGCAACGCCGCGUGGAGGAUGAAGGUUUUAGGAUUGUAAACUUCUUUUGAUAGAGAAGAUAAUGACGGUAUCUAAAGUAUAAGCCACGGCUAACUCCGUGCCAGCAGCAGUGGUAAUACGGAGGGUGCCAGCGUUACUCGGAAUCACUGGGCGUAAAAGGCGCGUAGGCGGGAUAUGAAGUCAGUUGUGAAAUCCUAUGGCUUAACCAUAGAACUGCAUUUGAAACUGUUAUUCUAGAGUAUGGGAGAGGUAGGUGGAAUUCGUGGUGUAGGGGUAAAAUCCGUAGAGAUCAAGAGGAAUACUCAUUGCGAAGGCGACCUGCUAGAACAUAACUGACGCUGAUGCGCGAAAGCGUGGGGAGCAAACAGGAUUAGAUACCCUAGUAGUC
This 440-nucleotide ribosomal RNA is filed under the name uncultured bacterium. Its description in RNAcentral is "partial 16S ribosomal RNA". It matches the Rfam family "Bacterial small subunit ribosomal RNA", at positions 338 to 795 of the family's 1533-position model. The record is from RNAcentral.